This 92-nucleotide transfer RNA is filed under the name Streptomyces fructofermentans. Its description in RNAcentral is "tRNA-Val". Lineage: Bacteria; Bacillati; Actinomycetota; Actinomycetes; Kitasatosporales; Streptomycetaceae. The record is from RNAcentral.
CGCCAAGUAGCCGACGGGGCGACCGCGGGGCCGGUUACGGCGGCCCCGCGGUCCCCCUCACCCGUACUGCUCAGACGCAGUACUGGGCGGCC